GUGGGGAAUAUUGGACAAUGGGCGAAAGCCUGAUCCAGCCAUGCCGCGUGUGUGAAGAAGGUCUUCGGAUUGUAAAGCACUUUAAGUUGGGAGGAAGGGCAGUAAGUUAAUACCUUGCUGUUUUGACGUUACCGACAGAAUAAGCACCGGCUAACUUCGUGCCAGCAGCCGCGGUAAUACGAAGGGUGCAAGCGUUAAUCGGAAUUACUGGGCGUAAAGCGCGCAUAGGUGGUUUUGUAAGUUGGAGGUGAAAUCCCCGGGCUCAACCUGGGAACUGCCUCCAAAACUGCAUGACUAGAGUACGGUAGAGGGUAGUGGAAUUUCCUGUGUAGCGGUGAAAUGCGUAGAUAUAGGAAGGAACACCAGUGGCGAAGGCGACUACCUGGACUGAUACUGACACUGAGGUGCGAAAGCGUGGGGAGCAAACAGGAUUAGAAACCCGUGUAGUCC
RNAcentral lists this ribosomal RNA (450 nucleotides) under uncultured bacterium. RNAcentral describes it as "bacterial SSU rRNA". It matches the Rfam family "Bacterial small subunit ribosomal RNA", at positions 354 to 796 of the family's 1533-position model. The record is from RNAcentral.